Molecule: non-coding RNA, 47 nt
Filed under: Alexandrium minutum
Lineage: Eukaryota; Dinophyceae; Gonyaulacales; Pyrocystaceae
Source: RNAcentral
UUUUUUUUUUUUUUUUUUUUUUUUUUUUUUUUUUUUUUUUUUUUUCG